GUCCGAUUAGCUAGUUGGUGAGGUAACGGCUCACCAAGGCGACGAUCGGUAGCUGGUCUGAGAGGAUGAUCAGCCACACUGGGACUGAGACACGGCCCAGACUCCUACGGGAGGCAGCAGUGGGGAAUAUUGGACAAUGGGGGAAACCCUGAUCCAGCGACGCCGCGUGGGUGAUGAAGGCCUUCGGGUUGUAAAGCCCUUUCGUCCACGAUGAUGAUGACAGUAGUGGAAGAAGAAGCUCCGGCUAACUUCGUGCCAGCAGCCGCGGUAAUACGAAGGGGGCUAGCGUUGCUCGGAAUUACUGGGCGUAAAGCGCACGUAGGCGGCCAUGAUAGUCAGAUGUGAAAGGCCUGGGCUCAACCCGGGAAUUGCAUUUGAUACUGCAUGGCUAGAGUCCAAGAGAGGGUAGUGGAAUUCCCAGUGUAGAGGUGAAAUUCGUAGAUAUUGGGAAGAACACCAGUGGCGAAGGCGGCUACCUGG
This 480-nucleotide ribosomal RNA is filed under the name uncultured Alphaproteobacteria bacterium. RNAcentral's name for it is "bacterial SSU rRNA". It matches the Rfam family "Bacterial small subunit ribosomal RNA", at positions 235 to 732 of the family's 1533-position model. The record is from RNAcentral. Lineage: Bacteria; Pseudomonadati; Pseudomonadota; Alphaproteobacteria.